GAAUAUGGUUAGAAAUUUUAAAACAACAGUAAAAAGUUUAGGUUUCCGUAUAUAGAGCGUUUAACGUAAAACUCAAUAUUUUCGUAGGGGUUACCACAUAGGUUUUGAGAAACAUUUAAAAAAUAUAACAAUAUUUCUUUAAUGCAUUUUUGCUUUUUAUACUAAUAUAUGAUGAUGAUCAAAAAGGUUUGAAACCUUUGUUGUCUCCAUUUCUCUAAAGAAUAGUGAUUAUAUAAUGGUUAGUCCACUAAUUUAGGGAAUAUGUGAAGUUUUACUAAAUUAAGUUAUAAAAAAUAUUGAACGAUGAUCAUGCACCAUGAAAGAGAGUUUAGCAUACAUUAACAAAAAUGUAGAAUGUGGCUAGAAAUUUAAAACAACACUAAAGAUUAUAGGGUUCAGUAUAUAAUGCAUUUACCAAAAUUCAUUAUUUUGUAGGGGUUAACACAUAGAUUUUAAAAAAAAUUCAAAAAAUACAACAAUAUUGUUUAAUGCAUAGUUGCCUCAUGUACUAAUAUAUUAUGAUGGUCAAAGAGGUUUGGGACCAUUGUUAUCUGCAUUUCUCUAGAGAAUAACGAUUUUUUAAUGGUUAGUCCACUAAUUUAUGAAGAAUAUGAAGUUUUACUAAAUUAACUUGUAAAAACUAUUGAACGAUGAUCAUGCACCAUUAAAGAGAGUUUAGCAUACAUUAAUACAAAUGUAGAAUGUGGUUAGAAUUUUAAAACACCACUAAAGAUUAUAGGGUUCAGUAUAUAAAGGAUUUACAAAAAUUAAUUAUUUUUGUAGGGGUUAACACAUAGAUUUUGAGAAAAAUUCAAAAAAUAUAACAAUAUUGCUUUAAUGCAUAGUUACCUUCUGUACUAAUAUAUGAUGAUGGCCAAAGGGGUUUGAAACUUUUAUUGUCUUCAUUUCUCUAGAAAAUAGCGAUUUUAUAAUGGUUAAUUCACUAAUUUAGGGAAUAUAUGAAAUUUUACUAAAUUAAUUUAUAAAAAAAAUAAAUGAUGCUCAUGUACCAUGAAAGAAAGUUUAGUAUACAUUAAUACAAAUGUAGAAUGUGGCUAGAAAUUUUAAAACAACACUAAAGAUUAUAGGGUUCAAUAUAUAAAACAUUUACCAAAAUUCAUUAUUCUUAUAGGGGUUAACACAUAUAUUUUGAGAAAAUUUCAAAAAAUAUGACAAUAUUGUAUUAAUGCAUAGUUGCAUCAUUCACUAACAUAUUAUGAUGUUGAAAGAGGUUUGAGCCUCUGUUGUCUCCGUUUUUCAAGAAAAUAGCUAUUUUAUUGUGGUUAUUCCACCCAUUUUUGGAGUAUUAUGAAGUUUUACUAAAUUAAUUAACUAAAAAAAUUAUAAUGAUUCUCAUAUACCAUGAAAGAGAGUUUAACAUACAUUAAUACAAAUGUAGAAAAUGGUUAGAAAUUUUAAUACAACACUAAAAUGUUUAAGCUUCAAUAUAUAGAGCGUUUAACGUAAAACUCAAUAUAUUUGUAGGGGUUACCACAUAGAUUUUGAGAAAAAUU
This is a long non-coding RNA of Brassica rapa (field mustard), 1514 nucleotides long. RefSeq lists it as uncharacterized. The record is from RefSeq and is a predicted model, not a curated record. Lineage: Eukaryota; Viridiplantae; Streptophyta; Magnoliopsida; Brassicales; Brassicaceae.